RNAcentral lists this long non-coding RNA (495 nucleotides) under Gallus gallus (chicken). Lineage: Eukaryota; Metazoa; Chordata; Aves; Galliformes; Phasianidae. The record is from RNAcentral.
AUUGCAACUCCACAAGGGAAUGGUACUGUAGAUUUUUCCUUUUUCACUGAUCUCUGCAUAUAAAUUCGUGAAGAGGCAAAAGCAACAAAGCCACCUCUUUGUUGAUACAAAAUGCAAAACAGAUCUUUGAAAGUUUUUUGUUGUUUGCUUUUGGUUUUCCAUAACUGAACUAGAGAAGAGGGACUAGGGCUGCCUAAUUAUGCAGUGGGACUACCCCCUGGUUGAGGCUGAAUACUUAUAGCCCCUUUCAUUUCACUUGUUCUGAGCUCAUACUAGCCCUUCCCCAGUUCUAAACCAGCUGUAAUCUAACCUGCUUGGGAGGCCAUCUUCUGUCUUUGUCGUAGUCAUGAGAGAAGUGGGAGUUCAGGGAAGCAGGGGGUGAACAUUUCAAGUGUAUCUGACCAUACAAGAAUUAAAAUAAGUGGACAGAGCGCUAACUCAGUAGUUUUUUAUUCCUUGUGCCAGAAUAUGAAUAGGAAAGGAACCAGUAGCAGG